This 531-nucleotide ribosomal RNA is filed under the name uncultured bacterium. RNAcentral describes it as "bacterial SSU rRNA". It matches the Rfam family "Bacterial small subunit ribosomal RNA", at positions 980 to 1509 of the family's 1533-position model. The record is from RNAcentral.
CUUGACAUCCAGAGAAUUUAGCAGAGAUGCUUUAGUGCCUUCGGGAACUCUGAGACAGGUGCUGCAUGGCUGUCGUCAGCUCGUGUUGUGAAAUUGUUGGGUUAACGUCCGCAACGAGCGCAACCCUUAUCCUUUGUUGCCAGCACGUAAUGGUGGGAACUCAAAGGAGACUGCCGGUGAUAAACCGGAGGAAGGUGGGGAUGACGUCAAGUCAUCAUGGCCCUUACGAGUAGGGCUACACACGUGCUACAAUGGCGUAUACAAAGAGAAGCGACCUCGCGAGAGCAAGCGGACCUCAUAAAGUGCGUCGUAGUCCGGAUUGGAGUCUGCAACUCGACUCCAUGAAGUCGGAAUCGCUAGUAAUCGUAAAUCAGAAUGUUACGGUGAAUACGUUCCCGGGCCUUGUACACACCGCCCGUCACACCAUGGGAGUGGGUUGCAAAAGAAGUAGAUAGCUUAACCUUCGGGAGGGCGUUUACCACUUUGUGAUUCAUGACUGGGGUGAAGUCGUAACAAGGUAGGCGUAGUGCU